This 181-nucleotide ribosomal RNA is filed under the name uncultured bacterium. RNAcentral's name for it is "partial 16S ribosomal RNA". It matches the Rfam family "Bacterial small subunit ribosomal RNA", at positions 1322 to 1500 of the family's 1533-position model. The record is from RNAcentral.
GAAGCUGGAGUUGCUAGUAAUCNCGAAUCAGCAUGUCGCGGUGAAUACGUUCCCGGGCCUUGUACACACCGCCCGUCACACCAUGAGAGUUGGCAAUACCCAACGUACGUGAUCUAACCCGCAAGGGAGGAAGCGUCCUAAGGUAGGGUCAGCGAUUGGGGUGAAGUCGUAACAAGGUAGC